RNAcentral lists this ribosomal RNA (460 nucleotides) under uncultured bacterium. RNAcentral describes it as "partial 16S ribosomal RNA". It matches the Rfam family "Bacterial small subunit ribosomal RNA", at positions 338 to 795 of the family's 1533-position model. The record is from RNAcentral.
CCUACGGGAGGCAGCAGUGAGGAAUAUUGGUCAAUGGGCGCGAGCCUGAACCAGCCAAGUAGCGUGAAGGAUGACUGCCCUAUGGGUUGUAAACUUCUUUUAUAAAGGAAUAAAGCGAGGCACGUGUGCCUUUUUGCAUGUACUUUAUGAAUAAGGAUCGGCUAACUCCGUGCCAGCAGCCGCGGUAAUACGGAGGAUCCGAGCGUUAUCCGGAUUUAUUGGGUGUAAAGGGAGCGUAGACGGGUUGUUAAGUCAGUUGUGAAAGGUUGGGGCUCAACCCUCAAAUUGCAAUUGAUACUGGCAGGCUGGAGUACAGGUGAGGUAGGCGGAAUUCGUGGUGUAGCGGUGAAAUGCGUAGAUAUUACGAAGAACCCCGAUUGCGAAGGCAGCUUACUAAACUGUGACUGACAUUGAGGCUCGAAAGCGUGGGGAGCAAACAGGAUUAGAUACCCUGGUAGUC